CCUACGGGGGGCAGCAGUGGGGAAUAUUGGACAAUGGGGGCAACCCUGAUCCAGCCAUGCCGCGUGUGUGAAGAAGGCCCUCGGGUUGUAAAGCACUUUCAGUGAGGAAGAACGCCUGGUGGUUAAUACCCAUCAGGAAAGACAUCACUCACAGAAGAAGCACCGGCUAACUCCGUGCCAGCAGCCGCGGUAAUACGGAGGGUGCGAGCGUUAAUCGGAAUUACUGGGCGUAAAGCGCGCGUAGGUGGCUUGAUAAGCCGGUUGUGAAAGCCCCGGGCUCAACCUGGGAACGGCAUCCGGAACUGUCCAGCUAGAGUGCAGGAGAGGAAGGUAGAAUUCCCGGUGUAGCGGUGAAAUGCGUAGAGAUCGGGAGGAAUACCAGUGGCGAAGGCGGCCUACUGGACUGACACUGACACUGAGGUGCGAAAGCGUGGGUAGCAAACAGGAUUAGAUACCCUGGUAGUC
RNAcentral lists this ribosomal RNA (465 nucleotides) under Vreelandella stevensii. RNAcentral's name for it is "partial 16S ribosomal RNA". It matches the Rfam family "Bacterial small subunit ribosomal RNA", at positions 338 to 795 of the family's 1533-position model. The record is from RNAcentral. Lineage: Bacteria; Pseudomonadati; Pseudomonadota; Gammaproteobacteria; Oceanospirillales; Halomonadaceae.